GACGAACGCUGGCGGCGUGCCUAAUACAUGCAAGUAGAACGCUGAAGAGAGGAGCUUGCUCUUCUUGGAUGAGUUGCGAACGGGUGAGUAACGCGUAGGUAACCUGCCUUGUAGCGGGGGAUAACUAUUGGAAACGAUAGCUAAUACCGCAUAACAAUAGGUGACACAUGUCAUUUAUUUGAAAGGGGCAAUUGCUCCACUACAAGAUGGACCUGCGUUGUAUUAGCUAGUAGGUGAGGUAACGGCUCACCUAGGCGACGAUACAUAGCCGACCUGAGAGGGGGAUAGGCCACACUGGGACGGGGACACGGCCCAGACCCCUACGGGAGGCAGCAGUAGGGAAUCUUCGGCAAUGGGGGCAACCCUGACCGAGCAACGCCGGGUGAGUGAAGAAGGUUUUCGGAUCGUAAAGCUCUGUUGUAAGUCAAGAACGAGUGUGAGAGUGGAAAGUUCACACUGUGACGGUAGCUUACCAGAAAGGGACGGCUAACUACGUG
Molecule: ribosomal RNA, 497 nt
Filed under: uncultured bacterium
Lineage: Bacteria
Description: partial 16S ribosomal RNA
Rfam family: Bacterial small subunit ribosomal RNA
Source: RNAcentral